UGUUGUCUUCAGGGCAGGGCGAAAUUCCCGACCGGCGGUUAGAGUCCGCGAGCUACACAUGUAGUUGAACCUCAGGUACCGAUAGUUAUAGUCUAGAUGGAAGAAGACAGAC
RNAcentral lists this non-coding RNA (112 nucleotides) under Lactobacillus johnsonii. RNAcentral describes it as "FMN sequence". It matches the Rfam family "FMN riboswitch aptamer (RFN element)". From Rfam's summary of the family: The RFN element is a highly conserved domain that is found frequently in the 5'-untranslated regions of prokaryotic mRNAs that encode for flavin mononucleotide (FMN) biosynthesis and transport proteins. This element is a metabolite-dependent riboswitch that directly binds FMN in the absence of proteins. RNAcentral also lists the same sequence under 1 other name. The record is from RNAcentral. Lineage: Bacteria; Bacillati; Bacillota; Bacilli; Lactobacillales; Lactobacillaceae.